GUCUGACUGUGUGAGUGUGUGUGUCUGCUAGUGAGUGAGUGUGUGUCUGUUAGUGUGUGUCUGACUGUGUGUCAGUGAGUGUGUGUUUGCCUGUGAGUGUGUGUGUGUGUGUCUGUUAGUGUGUGUGUGAGUGUGUGUCUGUUAGUGUGAGUGUGUUUGCCUGUGAGUGUGUGUGUCAGUGAGUGUGUGUCUGUUAAUGUGUGUGUGUUUGUGUGUGUGUGUGAGUUUGUGUGUGUGUCUGCUAGUGAGUGUUUGUUAGUGUGUAUGUGUGUGUCUGACUGUGUGUCAGUGAGUGUGUGUGUGUGUCUGCUAGUGAGUGUGUGUGUCAGUGAGUGUGUGUCUGUUAGUGUGAGUGUGUUUGCCUGUGAGUGUGUGUGUCAGUGAGUGUGUGUCUGUUAAUGUGUGUGUUUGUUAGUGUGUGUGUGAGUUUGUGUGUG
Pelobates cultripes (western spadefoot toad) is the source of this 437-nucleotide non-coding RNA. The record is from the annotation of a GenBank genome assembly. NCBI's taxonomy places the organism in Eukaryota, Metazoa, Chordata, Amphibia, Anura, Pelobatidae.